RNAcentral lists this ribosomal RNA (483 nucleotides) under uncultured bacterium. RNAcentral's name for it is "partial 16S ribosomal RNA". It matches the Rfam family "Bacterial small subunit ribosomal RNA", at positions 28 to 523 of the family's 1533-position model. The record is from RNAcentral.
GACGAACGCUGGCGGCGUGCUUAACACAUGCAAGUCGAACGGUGAACCCGGAGCUUGCUCCGGUGGAUUAGUGGCGAACGGGUGAGUAACACGUGAGUAACCUGCCCUUGACUCUGGGAUAACUGCGGGAAACUGUAGCUAAUACCGGAUACGACCCUCGGCGGCAUCGCCAGGGGGUGGAAAGAAUUUCGGUCAAGGAUGGACUCGCGGCCUAUCAGCUAGUUGGUGAGGUAACGGCUCACCAAGGCGACGACGGGUAGCCGGCCUGAGAGGGUGACCGGCCACACUGGGACUGAGACACGGCCCAGACUCCUACGGGAGGCAGCAGCGGGGAAUAUUGCACAAUGGGCGCAAGCCUGAUGCAGCAACGCCGCGUGAGGGAUGACGGCCUUCGGGUUGUAAACCUCUUUAGUAGGGAAGAAGCGAAAGUGACGGUACCUGCAGAAAAAGCACCGGCUAACUACGUGCCAGCCGCCGCCGUAA